This 2490-nucleotide long non-coding RNA is filed under the name Xyrichtys novacula (pearly razorfish). The record is from RNAcentral. Lineage: Eukaryota; Metazoa; Chordata; Actinopteri; Labriformes; Labridae.
AAAUUUCAGCAGAUGAGUUUAUUAUGAAAUUCAAGAAAAAUACUGUAUGAAAUAAUCCAACGUGAUUAUUUAUAUUUUUGAAUUUUAUACUAGAUGCUACAGUACUGUACUGUAAAAUAUCGUACUAUACCGUACAACACAAUAUGAUACAAUAUGAUAAAUUAUUUGUUAAGAUACAAAAUGAAACUAUAAUAUGUUUUGUUACGAUAUGAUACUAUACGUUACGCUAAGAUAUGAUAUGAAAUAAUACGAAAUGAUAUGAUACGAUUCUAAACUACGUAAUAUCGUAAGAUACGAAAUGAUAUAAAACAUACAAUACAAAAUGAUGCGAUACUUUACAAUACGAUACAACACAAUAUAAUACAAUAGGUAGGGAAAUGAUAUGAUACAAUGUAAAUUGAUCUGAUAUAAUUCACUCGAUUGUUUCCAUGGUUACAUCUAUCUUGGUUGCUCAAAAGUGAUCAAAAAGUUACAUUUCACAUAAAUUUUUUGUCCAAAAAAUUUUGGUCACAUUAAAUGACAUAAAUAUUGAAAAAUCAGGCCUACUUGUUAUAGGCUAUCUAAAAAAUAUAUCUUAAUUAAAAUAAAGAAAUCAGGAGUUUUUUUCUUUUAUCUUAUACAUUUCCUUCCUGACAGACCGUAGGACACACUUUUCUAUCACAUUCUAAUGAUUCAGCCUGAAUACGAGGUCAGCUUUAAAUUACUUGAGGUUUUACAUGUCUUCUUGAUGUCCAUUUUUCACGCCCCCAAAAGUACCAAACUCAAACUUCCUGAUUUUAUAUUAAAGCUUCCCUAGAGCUAAAGAAAAAGGACACUUUUAAUGGUUUCGGAGAAGUGCUUGAAGUGUUUCCUUUAGUGUUUACGACUGUUUAGUCAACCUUGCCAAAUGGCUUCUGAAGUUUUUAAUGUCGCUCAUUCAAUUAAAGUUGGAGUGAGAGCUGAACCUGAGGGGGCAAUAAGUCACAUAUUGUUAUUAUCCUGCCCUGCUAAUUACUGAAGCAAUGAACUUUAAUUAAUAUCUGAGCUUCAUGUCUGCGUGUGUGUGUUUAAGCAUGCAAAUGUGUGUGUGUGUGGGCAUCUCUCCUUUAUCUCAAGCCAUCUCUCUUCGACACACGUACAAACACACACUUAUACACACGCCAGGCGGAGGCUGACAUUUCAGAGAGUGUCUUAGUUCAGGUGAAGAACGCUGACACCGUGAACCCGCCAAGGCUAGCUGCGCGGUUAGCAUUAGCAUAAUUAUCUUAGUCAUCAGAGGCACCAGAGACCGGUUCCAACAACAGAAACAACAACAUCACACACAGAUUCAUGGACUCUGCUUCCAGAAAGUCUUACGUUUGAAUCAAAAUAGUGCAGACAGCCUCUCAUAUGUAAAAAUGACUGAAUGAUUACGUUCAUUUGGAACACAAUGGCCCUAAAAUGACAAAGAUUUGGGGGUUGUGGUAUCUGGAGUACAGCACCAACAUACAACGUGUUCAAGGGAUAGCCUGAGAUAAGAAAAUGGUGAAGUGUGGGCAUUGGGCUUCUUUUAUGGUACCUGGUCCAAAUAUCCUCGCUGUUGGAGGUUUGCAGGUCACAGGUCAGAUAGGCGUAAAGCAGAUGGUAAAGCAGAUGGUAGAAAAUUUUACUUAAAGAUAAACAGAGGAUGUAAGAGGACCUGAAACCUCUAACCCUACAUAACAAGAUCACAAACUCAGGUUUGGGAGAGCUGGACAUCAUUGGCAGUCGUCUCCCAGCAACUGCAGUGCUGUUCUGAUACUGGUGUUGUCUUUGUAAUAAAUUCCUAUUAUACAAGCAAGCCAGUGUCAUGAAGCCUCGUUCUGCAUCUACACAUCGCGCACGAGAUACAACAGGGUAUAUUAUCUACUGUGUGAGAUAUCAUUCACUAGAUGGACAGAUCUGUGGGCCUUACCCCCAAUUUCCACUGCAUCUGGAACGGCUAUGAAAAAGCCGUAUCCGCCGAUCGUAGCUGAUCGUAACCAAUCAAGUUAAUGUGUCCAUUUCCACCGGCUUCUUUCCGUUCUAUUUUUUCUGGACGCUGGAGCAUGCCGGAUAAAUUCAGCACAGAGUAACCCGUGCUGGAAAGGAAGUCGGCCACAGUCACAAAAUAAAACACCCGGCUUCUUUUCAAAAUAAAACACUCCAUGUUUCUGGCGAAUUAUACUUCACACCAUGCAAACAGGCGGGGACGAACAAGUAAAAAGGUUUAUGGACGUCAUUUCACCCUGAUGACACCAUGGAUUAGAGAAGGGGUGGGCGAUUAAUUUUUAGAUGGGGUCACAUGAGAAACCUGAACUGUGUUGGAGGGCUGAACCAACAGAAAAGCAACCCCAAGUAAGCAACUACUAGUCAAAAACAAGCCCAAAGAUAAGAUAAGAUAAGUGGACUUGGCAACUAUAAAGCGUCUACGUAUAUUUUGCCAAUGUUAAAACUUGUCUCUGUUCACAAGUGCGUCCAAACUGAAAUAAAACAACGGCAAGUUUUUCAAAA